AAAGAACUACAAGCAGCUUUCUAUGUUGUCGCUUUUUGAAUGGUCAUCAAUACAUUUAAAAAUUAUAACGGAAAAUGAAACCAAAAGUUUCCAAAAACCUGAUAGAAUCGUGUUAACAAUGGCAAGUGCAACAACACUUGCAUCGCCCGAAUAGGAAAUAGUUAAUUGUGAUCCUCCGUUGAAAGCAAGGAAUCCAAAGAAAAGGAUGAAACCACCUAACGAGACCAUCUAAAAACGAAGUUAAGAACACCUUGAAAAACAAAGAGUUUUACUGAAUAUUUUAUUUAAAAAAUAAGUACCUGCGUACAUGUGGUUAGCCGAUGAAGUAUAUGGCUAUUAAUGAAGUAGAUUAAUAAACAUGUAGCUCAAAAAUAUUAUAUAUUAAAUAAUAAUUGCACCAAA
Long non-coding RNA from Xenia sp. Carnegie-2017, 402 nucleotides. RefSeq lists it as uncharacterized. NCBI's taxonomy places the organism in Eukaryota, Metazoa, Cnidaria, Anthozoa, Malacalcyonacea, Xeniidae. The record is from RefSeq and is a predicted model, not a curated record. The transcript has 2 exons.